Molecule: long non-coding RNA, 792 nt
Filed under: Citrus maxima (pomelo)
Lineage: Eukaryota; Viridiplantae; Streptophyta; Magnoliopsida; Sapindales; Rutaceae
Description: long non-coding RNA (CMAX_LNC003127)
Source: RNAcentral
GGAGACCAAGCCAAAACAAUAGGAGACCAAACCAAAACAUCAAAUAUUUUAAAAGCAAAAGCUUAACUUAGCUCUAUUAUAUGAUAUCACGGUCAUAUCUAAUAAUAUGUCAGAGGGAUUCGAUUCAGCUGCUACUAAAGUUACAAAAUCUGAGAAUAAAUGCAAAAUCCAAACACUGACAUACAAUUAAUUAAAUCUCCAAUCUCCAUCCAUGCAGUUAAACAGCAAUAACUGAAAACCCUCCUACUAAUAAUAAGCAUCAUGUAUUAACUCUAAAGCCUAAGAAGAAGAAACUUAGUGUCUGUUUGGUAUGGCUUAUUUAAGAGCCAUAAGUGCUUAUUUAAUCGCAUAAGCACUUUUUAAAAAAUUUUAUGGUGUUUGGUUAUUUUUUUAGUAGAGUUUUUUUAGCUUAAAUAAGCUAAUUUACCUCUACUAGCAAAAGCCCAAAAUUUGAGCUUUUGGGAGUAGAGGUUAAAGAGCUUAUCUAAAAAAUAUAUAAUAAAAAAAUAUCAUACAGUUUAAUGAUUCAAAAGUAUUUUUUUUAUUGACAACCAAACACCCAAUGACUUUUUGUCCAAAAACUCUAUUGGUAUAAGCUCUACUGCUAUAAGCUCUAUUGUUAUAAGCUCUAUUUAAUAAGCUGUACCAAACGGAGCCUUAAGAAAAAAUAAAACAGUCUUGUUUGUUGGUGCCAUUUAUUAUUAUUAUUAUCAUUAUUCUUGCAGCAGGCGGCAGCAGCAGCAGGAGGUUGCAGGUUUAAUUUGGAGUUGGUUGUUUGUUUGAAGAGCCAUU